Molecule: ribosomal RNA, 392 nt
Filed under: uncultured Proteiniphilum sp.
Lineage: Bacteria; Pseudomonadati; Bacteroidota; Bacteroidia; Bacteroidales; Dysgonomonadaceae
Description: bacterial SSU rRNA
Rfam family: Bacterial small subunit ribosomal RNA
Source: RNAcentral
CCCGUUCGUAAAGAAGGCGACUCCCCUUUCCGGGUCGAGAUGUGUAGGUGCUGCAUGGUUGUCGUCAGCUCGUGCCGUGAGGUGUCGGCUUAAGUGCCAUAACGAGCGCAACCCUCAUCAUUAGUUACCAUCAGGUAAGGCUGGGGACUCUAAUGAGACUGCCAUCGUAAGAUGUGAGGAAGGUGGGGAUGACGUCAAAUCAGCACGGCCCUUACGUCCGGGGCGACACACGUGUUACAAUGGGUGGUACAAAGGGCAGCUACCUGGCGACAGGAUGCUAAUCUCGAAAACCGCUCUCAGUUCGGAUCGGAGUCUGCAACUCGACUCCGUGAAGCUGGAUUCGCUAGUAAUCGCGCAUCAGCCACGGCGCGGUGAAUACGUUCCCGGGCCUU